This 450-nucleotide ribosomal RNA is filed under the name uncultured Glomeromycotina. RNAcentral's name for it is "SSU rRNA". It matches the Rfam family "Eukaryotic small subunit ribosomal RNA", at positions 569 to 1022 of the family's 1831-position model. The record is from RNAcentral. Lineage: Eukaryota; Fungi; Glomeromycota.
AGCAGCCGCGGUAAUUCCAGCUCCAAUAGCGUAUAUUAAAGUUGUUGCAGUUAAAAAGCUCGUAGUUGAAUUUCGGGAUCAAUAUGUCGGUCGUGCUCUUUGGUACGUACUGGCGUCAUUGUUUCUUCCUUUCUGACGAACCAUGAUGUCAUUCAUUUGGUGUUAUGGGGAGUUAGGACUGUUACUUUGAAAAAAUUAGAGUGUUUAAAGCAGGCUAACGCUUGAAUACAUUAGCAUGGAAUAAUGAAAUAGGACGAGCGAUCCUAUUUUGUUGGUUUCUAGGAUUGACGUAAUGAUUAAUAGGGAUAGUUGGGGGCAUUAGUAUUCAAUUGUCAGAGGUGAAAUUCUUGGAUUUAUUGAAGACUGACUAUUGCGAAAGCAUUUGCCAAGGAUGUUUUCAUUAAUCAAGAACGAAAGUUAGGGGAUCGAAGACGAUCAGAUACCGUCGUA